GGCGCCGUGGCUUAGUUGGUUAACGCGACUGUCUAUUAUACAGGAGAUCAGAAGUUUGAUUCUCGUUGGGGCCU
Molecule: transfer RNA, 74 nt
Filed under: Operophtera brumata (winter moth)
Lineage: Eukaryota; Metazoa; Arthropoda; Insecta; Lepidoptera; Geometridae
Rfam family: tRNA
About the family: Transfer RNA (tRNA) molecules are approximately 80 nucleotides in length. Their secondary structure includes four short double-helical elements and three loops (D, anti-codon, and T loops).
Source: Rfam by way of RNAcentral